AUCCAAUGAGUGUGAGAUAUUCAACAGCCGUCCCCGUGUGUCAGGAGGACUGAGUAGAACCCAGAGACCCAUCCCAGUGCCUCCACCUCACUCACUAAUACAUGAGAGACUCAAUGACCAAAAGAUCCUGGAACUCACCAACAAGAUCAUUCAGCUGCUGACUGGAGAGGAGGAGGAGUAUAUAGAGGAACACAGGGGUCUGUACAAGGACGUGAUGAUGGAGAAUCACCAGCCCCUCACAUCACUGGAUGGGCCCAGUAACAGAGAUACACCAGAGAGAUGUCCCCGUCCUCUGUAUUCCCAGGAUUGUACAGAGGAGAAUCACAGGAUCCCACAGGAGGA
Molecule: long non-coding RNA, 342 nt
Organism: Pseudophryne corroboree (corroboree frog)
Lineage: Eukaryota; Metazoa; Chordata; Amphibia; Anura; Myobatrachidae
Exons: 3
Source: RefSeq, a predicted model, not a curated record